AUUUGGCGGACGGGUGAGUAACGCGUAUGUAACCUACCCUGUACAGGGGGAUAACCCGGAGAAAUUCGGACUAAUAUCCCAUAACAAUAUCCGGGGGCAUCUUUGGAUAUUUAAAGUUCCGGCGGUACGGGAUGGGCAUGCGUAACAUUAGCUAGUUGGUAAGGUAACGGCUUACCAAGGCUUUGAUGUUUAGGGGUCCUGAGAGGGUGGUCCCCCACACUGGUACUGAGACACGGACCAGACUCCUACGGGAGGCAGCAGUGAGGAAUAUUGGUCAAUGGGCGCAAGCCUGAACCAGCCAUCCCGCGUGCAGGAAGACGGCGCUAUGCGUUGUAAACUGCUUUUCCAGGGAGAGAAACUUGCGCACGUGUUGCGCAAUUGACGGUACCCUGGGAAUAAGCAUCGGCUAACUCCGUGCCAGCAGCCGCGGUAAUAAU
This 437-nucleotide ribosomal RNA is filed under the name uncultured bacterium. Its description in RNAcentral is "bacterial SSU rRNA". It matches the Rfam family "Bacterial small subunit ribosomal RNA", at positions 93 to 526 of the family's 1533-position model. The record is from RNAcentral.